GACGAACGCUGGCGGCGUGCUUAACACAUGCCAGUCGAACGGAAAGGCCCUGCUUUUGUGGGGUGCUCGAGUGGCGAACGGGUGAGUAACACGUGAGUAACCUGCCCCUGACUUUGGGAUAACUUCAGGAAACUGGGGCUAAUACCGGAUAGGAGCUCCUGCUGCAUGGUGGGGGUUGGAAAGUUUCGGCGGUUGGGGAUGGACUCGCCGCUUAUUAGCUUGUUGGUGGGGUAGUGGCUUACCAAUGCUUUGACGGGUAGCGGGCCUGCGAGGGUGACCGGCGAGAUUGGGCCGGGAAUACGGCCCGGACUAGUACGGGAGGCAGCAGUGGGGUAUAUUGCACCAUGGGCGGGAGCCUGAUCCAGCAACGCCGCGUGCGGGGUGACGGGAAUCGGGUUGGAAACCGCUUUCGCCUGUGACGAGGCGUGAGUGACGGUAAUGGGUAAAGAAGCACCGGCUAACUACGUG
This 468-nucleotide ribosomal RNA is filed under the name uncultured bacterium. RNAcentral describes it as "partial 16S ribosomal RNA". It matches the Rfam family "Bacterial small subunit ribosomal RNA", at positions 28 to 507 of the family's 1533-position model. The record is from RNAcentral.